UUGUCCUAGCACCAGCAAAUCUCUGCCUAUGCAGAUUGAUGGGGAACCAUGGAUGCAGACACCUUGUACAAUAAAAAUUACCCACAAGAAUCAAGUUCCUAUACUAAUGGGACCACCUCCAAAAACUGGCCUAUUCUCUUCCAUCAUUAAAAAAACAAGGAACCACAGCAAAGAAUAAGCUUCUGUAGUUAAAUGCGUACAAAAUCAAAUUAGCAAGUAUUUGGUAUGUGUAUUCUGGAAAUCUUUCAAGGGUUUUAAAAUGUUCUCUUUCUGCAUAAUCAUGGAAUCUGGAAAAACAGUUUCUGUGACUGAGCUAAUGUAAAAUGAUGCUAUUAGAAUAAUUUAUUGCCACAGUUUUGUAGGCAUUUUGCAUGAAGAAAGCUAAUGUUUACAUAAAGUGAUAAAGCAUAUUUUUGUUGCAUGCAUUACCAUUACUAAUUUAUAGGAUAAAUAUGAUGUGGAAUGGAAAAAUUCAACCCCAUUGAAAAUGUGAUUUUCACGGGACAUUGUCUCAACCUGCUUACUUCAAAUCAGUCCUUUUACUCUAGGCUUAUUCUAAACAAAGCACCACAAGGCUUGCACAGCUCUGGUUUGAUUCCUUUACUGCUUAAUGCCAAUGAAUAACUAACACUCCAUUCUGGUAUCCAAUGGCCUCUCUUACAGCUAACAGUCUUCUUAUCCAUGUGGAUCUGAUUUACCAUUUUAAGACCUGAAAUGUGAAAGAUUUCUUUUUGUUCUCCUAGGGUUCAGUCCAAUAGAAAUAAGGAAAUAAAAGGAAAUAAGCCUCACUGCACACAAGCAUGUUUAGUAACGGGCUGUUUAAAGUGGCCCAGUAGCAUUAAUGUAAAAGAAACAUGGAUAACACAAUUUGUAAAGCAGGACAUUAUUUCAAUUGUUAUCUAGCAAGAAACCCAGUUUGCCAAUGAGGGGGUCUUUAUCAGAGGCCCUUGGCCUAUCCUGUGGUUCCAGAAAUUUACAGUUGUUGCCAAACAUCUGUUUGCCACACUUAUAUUUUACAUGAUAGAUAUAUCUUUGAUAUACAUUUAAAGCAAGGAAAAUGUGAAAACUAGGCAAUAGGGAUUUGGAUGCUGCCAUCAUUUUCACUUGAACUUGCCCAACUCUCCACUUUAUUACAGCCCCUGACCUUCAUGGUUUCUGUCCAUGCAGGCCUCAUGGCCUUUAACACAGGAUUUUUAGUGGUCAAAGAGAAAUAUAUCCUCCCAUUUCAGCAAUGGUAAAAUUGGUUGGAUCAAACCCAGUGAUGUUUUAUUUCCUGUAAGGUACUGAACAGUAAAACCUUUAAACUUCAUAAUGUAGUAAGUGUGCAAAUAAGACUUGUGUGCAAAUAAGACUUGUGGCCAAACAAACCAUUUUAUUUGCCAACAAUUCAGCAAUAAAUCAAUGGAUAAGUAAUUACACAUUCUGAAUCAGACACCGAAAAGUGUUAAACAAAUUCUGUGAAGUAAGAGCAAGGAGAAAUUAAUGACUUGCAAUGAGUAUUCUUUUAUUUCACAUGCUUAUAAUUACUCUCAAACCAGCUGUGAUAUAAAGAUAUAUGUUGGUACAUGUUGAAGGUUCAAAUCUAUGUUACAGGAUAUUCUACUACCAAAAGGGGAAAUACAAUUGAGCAUUUCAUUCCUAAUCUUCAGAUGUACCUCAGAGUUUCUGCAUGUGCAAUGGAAACACUGGCACAAAUCAAUUAAAAUGUUUGCAGAAAUGUUUCAGUUCCCGCCCCCCACCCCCUUUACAAUAGUGUUAGUUCAAACUCAACUCAAAAGGUUAUGGUGGGUUUUCCGGGCUGUGUGGCCGUGGUCUGGACAGCCCGGAAAACCCACCACAACCAGUUGAAUCCAACUGUGAAACCCUUCGACAACAGAUUUAACUCAAAAGAGUUCACAGCUGGUGGUUUUUGGGUUUUUAUUUAUUUUGCUUGCUUGCUCAUUGAAGCAAUGUUGGUAUGGUAUAUCACUUCAUUGCUUUGUUGAUCAAAAAGUGAAACGUUAAAAAAAGCUAGUGAAAAUGAGGUGCUAAGAAAAUGAGACACUAAGAAAAUGAGAUGCUAAGAAAUGGCAUCCCAGGCUUCAAGGGAGAAGCUGUAAACAAAGAAGAAAUUUGGCAUGGGGGAGAAGGAAGCUGAACACUGACACAGGGGCAAAGUAAAUGAUCCAGUUUUUUUCGGAGGAAAUUUAAAAUGUUUCAAGAUGAUCUCACUGCAAGGGAAGCCAGCUUGGAAACAUUUCAGGGAAAUAAAGUGUUGUAAAUUGUUGUACACUGUCCUGAGCCUUUCGGGGGAGGGUGGUAUAUAAAUUAAAUAUACGAUACAAAAUAUACGAUACGAUAAAGAGGGUUUGAGAAACAAUGAAUUGAAAGGUUAAAAAUGUUUCAGGAAUGAAUGUGAGAAAAUGAAGUUCAGAACUCUCCUGAGGAAAUGAUGUGUUAAUGUGCCAGAAACAUUUUAAAUGACUUGUGCAGAAAAGACCACUCGGUAUGAAGGACUCAGCACCACCCACUUACCAUCAUUAUAUUUUGUUGCUAAUAAUUUAAUGUAUAAAUAUAAAUCAUCUUAUCAUGUUGCUUCCUUUAUGUUUGCUGUUUAAAAGAUCUAAACAUUUCUGCUGAUGAUUUUGUGCUCAAUGGUUUUACUUCUCUUUCAUGCUCCCUUGAAAAAUGUAUUAACAGCUUGGAAAUGGUAACACAACUUGCUUUGUUUGAGUGAUGUGCAAUUGUCGAUCAGUUUUAGGAUUCAAGUCAGGUUGGCCAACCAUUUCAAAGUUGUUUAUAAAUCUAUGUACAUAAACCUCAUAAAAUGUUGUGGGGGUUUUGAUUUUUUUUGCUGGGGAAAAAGCAUUGGGGGAUUUAGUAAGGUGUGGCUUGCAUUGCAUCCUUGCAUGGUUAAUUUCUAGCGUUCCAU
Long non-coding RNA from Sphaerodactylus townsendi, 2911 nucleotides. RefSeq lists it as uncharacterized. The record is from RefSeq and is a predicted model, not a curated record. The transcript has 2 exons. Lineage: Eukaryota; Metazoa; Chordata; Lepidosauria; Squamata; Sphaerodactylidae.